GAGUUUGAUCUUGGCUCAGAUUGAACGCUGGCGGCAGGCCUAACACAUGCAAGUCGAGCGGAUGAAGGGAGCUUGCUCCUGGAUUCAGCGGCGGACGGGUGAGUAAUGCCUAGGAAUCUGCCUGGUAGUGGGGAUAACGUCCGGAAACGGGCGCUAAUACCGCAUACGUCCUGAGGGAGAAAGUGGGGGAUCUUCGGACCUCACGCUAUCAGAUGAGCCUAGGUCGGAUUAGCUAGUUGGUGGGGUAAAGGCCUACCAAGGCGACGAUCCGUAACUGGUCUGAGAGGAUGAUCAGUCACACUGGAACUGAGACACGGUCCAGACUCCUACGGGAGGCAGCAGUGGGGAAUAUUGGACAAUGGGCGAAAGCCUGAUCCAGCCAUGCCGCGUGUGUGAAGAAGGUCUUCGGAUUGUAAAGCACUUUAAGUUGGGAGGAAGGGCAGUAAGUUAAUACCUUGCUGUUUUGACGUUACCAACAGAAUAAGCACCGGCUAACUUCGUGCCAGCCGCCGCAGU
RNAcentral lists this ribosomal RNA (516 nucleotides) under uncultured microorganism. RNAcentral's name for it is "bacterial SSU rRNA". It matches the Rfam family "Bacterial small subunit ribosomal RNA", at positions 9 to 521 of the family's 1533-position model. The record is from RNAcentral.